UCCCCCCUGGUGCUUACCAGAGGUUGUGUCUUACACUGACCUUAUAGAAGAAGAGGAGGCAGAGUAAACCUACCCCGGGUAGGCCUCAGCCCAGGCCCUGCACCUGGUCUGCAUUGUGAAAGGGGAAACAUGG
Molecule: small nucleolar RNA, 133 nt
Organism: Sciurus carolinensis (gray squirrel)
Lineage: Eukaryota; Metazoa; Chordata; Mammalia; Rodentia; Sciuridae
Product: small nucleolar RNA SNORA51
Exons: 1
Source: RefSeq, a predicted model, not a curated record